This 422-nucleotide ribosomal RNA is filed under the name uncultured bacterium. RNAcentral's name for it is "bacterial SSU rRNA". It matches the Rfam family "Bacterial small subunit ribosomal RNA", at positions 355 to 774 of the family's 1533-position model. The record is from RNAcentral.
UGAGGAAUAUUGGUCAAUGGGCGCAAGCCUGAGCCUGCCAUGCCGCGUGCAGGAUGAAGCAUCUAUGGUGUGUAAACUGCUUUUGUACGGGAAGAAACCACCCCUCGUGAGGGGUAUUGACGGUACCGUAAGAAUAAGCAUCGGCUAACUUCGUGCCAGCAGCCGCGGUAAGACGAAGGAUGCAAGCGUUAUCCGGAUUCAUUGGGUUUAAAGGGAGCGUAGGUGGCCUUAUAAGUCAGUGGUGAAAUCUCCCCGCUCAACGGGGAAACUGCCAUUGAUACUGCAGGUCUUGAAUUAUUGGGAAGUAACUAGAAUAUGUAGUGUAGCGGUGAAAUGCUUAGAGAUUACAUGGAAUACCGAUUGCGAAGGCAGGUUACUACCAAUGGAUUGACGCUGAUGGACGAAAGCGUGGGUAGCGAACA